GUGAGGAAUAUUGCUCAAUGGGCGCAAGCCUGAAGCAGCGACGCCGCGUGGGUGAAGAAGGAUUUCGGUCUGUAAAGCCCUUUUCUGCGUGACGAGAGUGGACGGUAGCGCAGGAAUAAGUCUCGGCUAACUACGUGCCAGCAGCCGCGGUAAAACGUAGGAGGCAAGCGUUAUCCGGAGUUACUGGGCGUAAAGCGCGUGUAGGCGGUUCAGUAAGUUACCUAUGAAAGCUCUUGGCUAAACUGGGAGAGGUUAGGUGAUACUGCUGGACUAGAGUGAAGAAGAGGAAGGUAGAAUUCCGCGUGUAGUGGUGAAAUGCGUAGAUAUGCGGAGGAAUACCAGUGGCGAAGGCGACCUUCUGGUCUUCAACUGACGCUCAGACGCGAAAGCAUGGGUAGCGAACGGGAUUAGAAACCCUAGUAGUCC
Molecule: ribosomal RNA, 426 nt
Filed under: uncultured bacterium
Lineage: Bacteria
Description: bacterial SSU rRNA
Rfam family: Bacterial small subunit ribosomal RNA
Source: RNAcentral